GACGAACGCUGGCGGCGUGCUUAACACAUGCAAGUCGAGCGGUAAGGCCCUUUCGGGGGUACGACGAGCGGCGAACAGGUGAGUAACACGUGGGUGACCUGCCCUCAGCUCUGGGAUAAGCCUGGGAAACCGGGUCUAAUACUGGAUAUGACUCCAUGACGCAUGUUGUGGGGUGGAAAGCCUUGUGCGGCUGAGGAUGGGCCCGCGGCCUAUCAGCUUGUUGGU
Molecule: ribosomal RNA, 225 nt
Filed under: uncultured bacterium
Lineage: Bacteria
Description: partial 16S ribosomal RNA
Rfam family: Bacterial small subunit ribosomal RNA
Source: RNAcentral